CCAAGGGUGGAGUUCUCAGCGCGCAGGCGCCUUCGGGCAGUGACUCGCAUGAAUGGAUCAAAGAGAUUCCCACUGUCUCUACCUACUAUCCCUCGAAACCACAGCCAAAGGAAUGGGCUUGGCAGAAUCAGUGGGGAAAGAAGACCCUACUGAAGUUGACUCUAGUGUGGCAAGUCCUGAUCGACGGAACUCUGCAAGGAUGGCUCUCAGAAAGCUCUGUUCCAGAACGGAGGAAUUUCUUAAAGAAAAUGAGGAAAUGUGAAUUCUCCAAAGUGGCUGCACAAUAAUUCCAGAAUGGAAAAGGCAGAAAUUCUCAGCUGUAUUUAAUAAUAGAGAAAUGAAGAAAUCUACAAGAAGAGACCCUUGGCCCAAGAUUAUUAUUGAACCAUCUGGAAAAACAAGGGUCUGUUCCUUGCAUAAAGAGAAAAAGCCAAAAGACUGAAGUGGAGCCUAUUUUGCCACAGCCUGAGGCUCAUAGCACGUGGUGAAUUUUGGAAACCACCUGGCCAAUGGCUAAAUGAACCAGAAUCAAGAGGGAAGGAAGCCAUGAAACUGGAGGACCCAGAGGAAUCCGUGAUUAGAUGAGUCAGACCAAUCCCCCACGCCAACGGCUGUACUUUUGUGCCUGCCCUUCCCUGUGCACUGGGGCUGAGGGCCUCCUGGGCUCCGUUCACGGGGAGGCCUGUACUCUCUCCCGAGGUGACAUAGGUGGGCACUUGCAUUUUAAAUUGCACUGAGGGAACUCUUGGACUCAGCACUGUCUGCAGGGACCUCUGUUUCUGCAUUCCCAGUGCUUGCCAGCAACGCCGUCAUUUGCCUAACGACCACUGCAGGCGAUGACAUCCUGUCCGAUGGUAUCCCAAAAGAACUAUUUUCUUCCAAAAUUUAUAUAACAUCAGGUUUAAAAAAGCAAACUGUAGGGAUUUCUCUGGUGGUCCAGUGGCUAAAGCUCUGUGCUCCCAAUGCAGGGAGCCCGGGAGUCCAUCUCUGGUUGGGGAACUAGAUCCCACAUGCCACAACUAAGUGUUCACAUGUUGCAACUGAAGAUCCUGUGUGCUACAACUAAGAGGCAGCACAACCAAAUAAACAGAUAAAUAUUGAAACAAAUCAAAAAUAAAGUGAUAACAUUAAAAAAUAGAAAAGCAAAUUAUAUAGGUAUAUACACAUACACCAAACUAGGACAUUAAAGAGAGUUAUUUCUGGGAAGUGGGAUUAUAGGAGUUUUUAUGUUUUCUAUUUGUUUUCAGAAUUCAACUAUAAGACAUUCAAAUACUUUUGGGUCACUUUUUCAGUGACCCAAGACAGAAAUAUGAACAGCAGUGUAUAUUAUUCCCUCCUCCUAAUCCCCCAUAUUCAGCUGGUGAGGAUGUCCUGGGUGGGUGGGUGGUGGGGGGGGGCGGUUUCCUAUCUUUCCUCCUUUCCUCAUGUGAAGCAGCUCCAUACAGUGGAUAAUAGCAGGGACUCAAGGGGCUGCUGCAGAGGUCUAGAAUCAAGAGUGGGCAGGGGACCCUGGGAAGCAAGAAAAUACCGAAAGCAGCUCCCCUCCAAGGGCCUGAGUCUUGGUGACCAUAAGCACUCUUUCUGACUGCUGCUGGUGUGAGGGAGUAAAAAAAAAAAGCUGGGGACACCAAACAUGGAAUCUAAGAAGACACUGCAUAAACCUGGGGUCUGAACACCACCACACCCCCAGUAUGAGGAUGAAUGAGAGACUCUUCAUGCAGAAGGGAUGGUAAGAAAAAUGGCCUGUGUGACUUUGGUGUUGGGAGGGGGUGUAAGGGGAAAAAAAAUCCUCUGAGUCUUUGCAACCACAACCCCUCAUGUGGAUCUGCAGUUCAUAUUCAUGUUGUGUCUCCUAAAAACCCUCAGUGAAAAUGGUCACCGUUGGCAGUGCCCCUCAGUAACUGACAGAAGCGCAAAACGAACUAAAUGAAUUCAAGUUCAACGCAGGCCUCAAUCAACUUCCAGAUAAAGCUCUAAGGAGCAAAACACAAAAAACAAGUAAACAAGGCCAUAUAGACGUGGCCUUUUUUAUAGAAGCGAUAGAAGUAAACUCACAAAGACGUCAGAUAUCAUAACUACAAGAUAAACAAUAUAGGUAUGUUUGUUUUUAUGUUAAGAAACAAAAGAGAGGUUUGAAAUUACAGGCAAGAGUUUUGGGUAAAAACAGCAGCCAAAUGUGAAGCCUUCCGAAACAUUAUUUAAAGACCAAGAACCCUAAAUAAGCAAGCAACUGGAGAGCAGUAAACAAUAUAAUUCUGCAAGUUAGAAAGAGGUGGCAGGGUAGUAGUGGUUGACUUAGCUGACUGUAGAAAGCCCAGUCCUAAAUCAGUAGUGAGGAAUCCAAGAACAAACCUAAAGCUACACUAAAAAUCUUCAAAACACUCAAAUUGUUAGUGGUACUGGAACUGGGGGUAAAGAGGGAACUUUGUCUAAAACGAGGAGGACUGGUUGAAAGUUAAGAAACUGAUGCCCUAGAUUAGGAAUCAGCACACUAUGGCCUGCCACGUUUUUGAAAAUAAAGUUUUACUGGAAUACAGCUUUGCACAUUUGUUUACGUGGCUGCUUUCACAAUUUAAGGGCAGGACUGAAUAGUGGUAACAGACCAUUAUGGCCCACAAAACCAGAGGGGUGGGAUGGGGAGGGAGGUGGGAGGGGGGUUCAGGAUGGGGAACACAUGUACACCCAUGGCGGAUUCAAGUCAAUGUAUGGCAAAACCAAUACAAUGUUGUAAAGUAAAAUAAACAAACAAUUAAAAAAAAAAAACCAAAGAAGUUUGUUGACCCUUGCCUAGGCCUCCCCCCCAUUUCAUGCUGGUGGGUGAACAUUCGAGCAAUAUUCUGUGAGAAAAUGUUGUGCCUUGGUGAUUUGUGCUGUUUCCAUAAAACGCUCUGCCCUGGAGAUUAUCCCACUUACACCAUAGCAGGAGACCAGAAAUUUAUUCUCAAGCAAAGAUAAACAAAGUUGAUCAACCUGGAACACUAGCAAUUGUUGCAAAGAAGGGGAUGUCCCUUACUAAAUAUAGACAGUUACUAUUUGCAUACUGAAUUUGAAGACCUCCACCCUCCCUGACUCCAGUUCACCUCCCCUGGUCAAAGGAAGAAAACAACCUCAAAUAAGUAGGAUGGUGCAUAAAAGGCCCACUCAGAGGGGAAAGAACUUUUAGAAACUGUAUGACUGCGGCGGUAGAACUGAUGCUUUUGAACUGUGGUGCUGGAGAAGACUCUUGAGAGUCCCCUGGCUGGAGUGCAAGGAGAUCAAACCAGUCCAUCCUAAAGGAAAUCAGUCCUGAAUAUUCACUGGAAGGACUGAUGCUGAAGCUCCAAUACUGUGGCCACCUGAUGCGAAGAACUGACUCAUUGGAAAAGACCCUGAUGCUGGGAAAGAUUGAAGGCAGGAGGAGAAGGGGAUCACAGAGGAUGAGAUGGUUGGAUGCUAUCACCGAUGCAAUGGACAUGAGUUUGAGCAAGCUCUGGGAAUUAGUGAUGGACAGGGAAGCCUACCGUGCUGCAGUCCAUGGGUUCGCAAAGAGUAGGACACGACUGAGCAACUGAACUGAACUGAGGGGUGGAGAAACUCUACCCAAAAGAGUGGGUAGAGAGUAACUUUGAGGCUGUCUCUCCUGGAAAGCAUAGCUUGGAGAUAAACACCAUAUCUGGCUCUCUGCUGACCCUAAUACUUAACAGAGUGCCUAGCUCUGAGCACAUGUUAUAGACAUGUGUUGCUACUAUAGCCAUUCAGAAUUUACAUUGUUUCUGGCAAAAAACUAGAAACAAGUUUACAAUUCUUUUAAGUGCUGAAAUACUGUGGCUGUGUGGUUUCUCUUGUUCAGCCCCAGGUAGACAUUUAACCUGCUUUGUUCCUCAGCCGCCUCAGAGAAGUCUUAGUGGAAUCUCAGUUGGCAUUCUCCCAGUGGGCCUCAAGUGGGAGAAUGCCACACGUCAUACCCACCACAGAGCAUGCACCCUGCUAGGCACAUUACAGACACGCUCUCAUUUAAUUCCCACAAUGACCCUAUGACAUAGCUAUUUUUCAGAAGAAAACUGGAGCCCAGAGGUUUUAAAGUAACUUUUCUAUAACUUGCCACACACCUAUUAGAGUCAGAAUUCAAACCAGAUUUGU
Molecule: long non-coding RNA, 4119 nt
Organism: Dama dama (fallow deer)
Lineage: Eukaryota; Metazoa; Chordata; Mammalia; Artiodactyla; Cervidae
Exons: 4
Source: RefSeq, a predicted model, not a curated record